UACGUAGGUGGCAAGCGUUAUCCGGAUUUAUUGGGCGUAAAGGGAACGCAGGCGGUCUUUUAAGUCUGAUGUGAAAGCCUUCGGCUUAACCGGAGUAGUGCAUUGGAAACUGGGAGACUUGAGUGCAGGAGAGGAGAGUGGAACUCCAUGUGUAGCGGUGAAAUGCGUAGAUAUAUGGAAGAACACCAGUGGCGAAAGCGGCUCUCUGGUCUGUAACUGACGCUGAGGUUCGAAAGCGUGGGUAGCAAACAGG
RNAcentral lists this ribosomal RNA (253 nucleotides) under uncultured bacterium. Its description in RNAcentral is "partial 16S ribosomal RNA". It matches the Rfam family "Bacterial small subunit ribosomal RNA", at positions 524 to 776 of the family's 1533-position model. The record is from RNAcentral.